RNAcentral lists this ribosomal RNA (462 nucleotides) under Triticum aestivum (bread wheat). RNAcentral's name for it is "partial small subunit ribosomal RNA". The record is from RNAcentral. Lineage: Eukaryota; Viridiplantae; Streptophyta; Magnoliopsida; Poales; Poaceae.
AUGCUAAAAAGAACGAAUACGGGGACACGAGAUACGACCUUUUCCGAAAACAGCCCAUCGGAGACAUGGCAUACGACAUUUUCCAAAAACAGCCCAUCGGGGACACGGCAAGUUUGUAUAACAAUAAAUAAAUAUAUGCCAUGUAAUAUAGAGUUAAAGACAAAAAAAAUAAUGAGAAAGAGAUCAGAAUGGAGAAUACUGCCCCAUUUGUUGUCUGUUGUCUCCUAUUUCAAGUGGUUGAUUGAUCAUCCAGACCAGAUCCAGGUCAAUUGUCAUUGCAACUUGCAAAACACAUCACCAGGUGGUUGUCCUCCUUCACUCUCACGGUCUCACCCACAGAUGAUUGGCUACCUGCGGUGGCGCCACUCCCAGAUGUUGUUUUCUAACAUGAAGCACCAAUCAACAGUUCAGAACAACAUGAGGAAGCAACAAGCAAGCAGCAUCACAGGAACAGCAUGGUGA